Vicia faba (fava bean) is the source of this 204-nucleotide non-coding RNA. Lineage: Eukaryota; Viridiplantae; Streptophyta; Magnoliopsida; Fabales; Fabaceae. The record is from the annotation of a GenBank genome assembly.
AUGGGCAUCUUCAAUAUCCUUCGUACUGACCCCUUUAAUAUCAUAAAUCUUCACACUUCUCUUCAAGUUAUCUCGCAGCUCCAUAAUAAUCUUCAUAACAACAACAACAUCCUCCUCCAUCUACACUAUCAACACCAUGCGGUAGAGAAUAACAUCAACGUCAAAUUUGCAAUCGUAACAACUCAGAACUCACAUAGAAAAUAA